GACGAACGCUGGCGGCGUGCUUAACACAUGCAAGUCGAACGGUGAAGCGCCUUCCUUUUUGGUGGGUGUGGAUGAGUGGCGAACGGGUGAGUAACACGUGAGUAACCUGCCCCCUUCUUCUGGAUAACCGCAUGAAAGUGUGGCUAAUACGGGAUAUUCUGGGUCUGUCGCAUGAUGGGUCUGGGAAAGAUAUUGUUUCGGUGGGGGAUGGGCUCGCGGCCUAUCAGCUUGUUGGUGGGGUGAUGGCCUACCAAGGCGGUGACGGGUAGCCGGCCUGAGAGGGUGGACGGUCACACUGGGACUGAGACACGGCCCAGACUCCGACGGGAGGCAGCAGUGGGGAAUAUUGCACAAUGGGCGCAAGCCUGAUGCAGCGACGCCGCGUGAGGGAUGGAGGCCUGCGGGUUGUGAACCUCUUUCGCCAGUGAAGCAGGCCUGCCUCGUUUGUGGGUGGGUUGACGGUAGCCGGAUAAGAAGCGCCGGCUAACUACGUG
RNAcentral lists this ribosomal RNA (494 nucleotides) under uncultured bacterium. RNAcentral's name for it is "partial 16S ribosomal RNA". It matches the Rfam family "Bacterial small subunit ribosomal RNA", at positions 28 to 507 of the family's 1533-position model. The record is from RNAcentral.